UACGUAGGGUGCAAGCGUUAAUCGGAAUUACUGGGCGUAAAGCGUGCGCAGGCGGUUGUGCAAGACAGAUGUGAAAUCCCCGGGCUCAACCUGGGAAUUGCAUUUGUGACUGUACGGCUAGAGUGUGUCAGAGGGGGGGUAGAAUUCCACGUGUAGCAGUGAAAUGCGUAGAGAUGUGGAGGAAUACCGAUGGCGAAGGCAGCCCCCUGGGAUAACACUGACGCUCAUGCACGAAAGCGUGGGGGAGCAAAACAGG
Molecule: ribosomal RNA, 256 nt
Filed under: uncultured bacterium
Lineage: Bacteria
Description: partial 16S ribosomal RNA
Rfam family: Bacterial small subunit ribosomal RNA
Source: RNAcentral